AGUCUGGUGCCAGCAGCCGCGGUAAUUCCAGCACCAGUAGCGUAUACCGAUCUUGUUGCAGUUAAAAAGCUCGUAGCUGAAACUUGGGACUGAGCGGCAGGGUCUGCCGGGACGGUGUGACCGGUCGCUCUUUCCUUCCUUCCGGGUUUUCUGUUUGCGGUUGGGGCUUCAUUGCUUCGCCGCAGGCUCCGGAUCUUUCACUGUGAAUAAAGUAACGCGCUCUAAGCAGGCCUAAUUAUGCCUUGAAUAUUUCAGCAUGGGAUGAUGAAACAGGUCUUUGCGUCUAUUUUGUUGGUUUCUAGAAGGCGAAGAAAUGAUUAAUGGGAACAGUUAGGGGAAUUAAUAUUUAACAGUCAGAGGUGAAAUUCUUGGAUUUGUGAAAGAUUAACUUCUGCGAAAGCAUUUUCCAGAGAUGCUUCCGUCAGUCAAGAACUAAAGUUGGGGGAUCGAAGAUGAUCAGAUACCGUCGUAGUCUCAACCAUAAACUAUGCCGACCAGGGAUUCGGGGCAUGUUAAUUAGACGACUCCCCGAGCACCUUGCGAGAAAUCAUUGAGUCUUUGGGUUCUGGGGGGAGUAUGGUCGCAAGGCUGAAACUUAAAGAAAUUGACGGAAGGGCACACCAAGAGUGGAGCCUGCGGCUUAAUUUGACACAACGCGGGGAAUUUUACCAAGUCCGGACAGAAAAAGGAUUGACAGAUUAAAGCUCUUUCUUGAUUUUUUGGGUGGUGGUGCAUGGCCGUUUGUAGUUGGUGGAGUGAUUUGUCUGCUUAAUUGCGUUAACGAACGAGACCUCAGCCUACUAAAUAGUUAUGCGAACCUUCUACUUGGGUGACGGGGGAGGGACAGUCGCCGCUUUCGGGCGGAGGCAUCCCGCCCCUAGAUCCUUGAUGCGUUCGUAGCAAUACUUCUUAGAGGGACAAUUGGUGUUAAGCCAAUGGAAGUUUGAGGCAACAACAGGUCUGUGAUGCCCUUAGAUGUCUUGGGCGGCACGCGCGCUACAAUGAUCGGUUCAACGAGUUAUUCACCUUUUGCGGAAGCAAUGGGUAAUCUUUUCAAAGCCGAUCGUGUUGGGGAUAGAUCUUUGCAAUUUUGGAUCUUCAACGAGGAAUUCUUAGUAAGUGCAGUUCAUCAUACUGCGUUGACUUCGUCCCUGCCUUUGUACACACCGCCCGUCGCUCCAACCGACAGCAGGAUCCGGUGAAAUCUCGGGAUGGCAGGCAAAUCCGCGCGGGUAACUGUGUGGAUCGCAUGCCAGAACCUGCUUGAACCUUAUCU
Molecule: ribosomal RNA, 1276 nt
Filed under: metagenome
Description: SSU rRNA
Rfam family: Eukaryotic small subunit ribosomal RNA
Source: RNAcentral